GCUGCCCUCCAGCUUUCAAAGUGCUCUGAGUCAUCACUUACACAGUGUUCCUUAGCUGCCCCUUCAGUGAGCCAGUGUUUCUGUGCCCCAGUGUUCCUGAGAGUUAGAACACAGAAAACAGAGCAGGCUCUUGCCCACAUCACAGAACAUCUUUGAUUUCAGUAGAAGGUCAAGGACAUUUCAGUUGGGAACAGAUUGCUCCAUGGUAAUACGAUCACUAUGUACCCAACAAUGGCUCUUUCUUCCUAGCCUCAAUGCAGAUGUUAUUUUCACCUUAACUAUUAUCAUUGCUGUUUCUAACCAUAGUAUGGAAGAUCUGAGUACAGGGGAAACUGGAUUAGUAACAGUGGGUCAGAAAAUUAUAUAAUAUUCAACCAAAAUUCCUGCUUUACAUACACAGCACCUGGUAUUUCCAGAACUAGAAGGUAAAGAAAUUAUUUGUGCUUGAACUUGCAGAAAACUGCCUUUUCCCUUCUUCUCUUGCAUCUUAACCUGGAGCUUCCCUUUUCUUGAGCCUCAGUGUGCUUUACAGAGAGGUCACAUAUGCCUAUUUUCUAAUUGGUAUCUUAUUACCAUUGAGUUUUGAGAAUUUUUUACAUAUGCUAGAUGUAAGUUCUUUGUCAGAUAUAUGGUAUGCAAAUUAUUUCUCCCAGUCUGUAAUUCAUUUUUUCAACCUCUUUACAGGGUCUUUCUAAGUAAAAAAAAAAAAAAAAAAAAAAAAAAAAGUGUUUAUUUAUUCUAAUGAAGUCCAGUUUUAUCACUUUUUCCUUUUGUAGAUUUUGUUUUUAAUAUCAAGCCUAAAAAUUCUUUGCCUAGCCCAAGGUCUCAAGAGUUUUCUUCUAUUUUAAAAAGUUUAGUGAAUUUAUUUAUUUAUUAAUUAUUUUUGAGACGAGGUUUCGCCCAAGCUGUAGUGCAGUGGUGCCAUCAUUGCUCACUGCAGCCACUAACUGCUGGAUUGAAGUGAUGCUUCCACCUCAGCCACUUGAGUAGUAGCUGGGAUUACAGGCACGAGCUACCAUACACAACUUUAAGUUUUAUAAUAUUACAUUUUACAUUUAAGCCUGUGAUUUAUGUGAGCUAAAUUUUAUAUAAAGUAUAAAUUUAGGUCAGUCUUAGUUUUUGUACCUGUGAAUGUCCAAUUGCUGUAGCACCAUUUGUUGAAAAAGAUAUCCUUCCUUUAAACUGAUUUUGCAUCCUUGUUAAAAAAAAAUCAGUUGAAAAAAGACAUUCAUACUCAUGGAUCAGAAAUAUGAAUGUUGUUAAAGUGACAGUACUACUCAAAAGCAACCUACAGAUUCAAUGCAAUCUCUAUCAAAAUACCUAUGAACAUAAAGUAGAACAGAGGAUACUGCAGGCUGAAAAGGGUAGGGAGAAAGGAGGAAUGGUAAGAGAUUUGUUAAUGGAUACAAAAUUACAGCUAGGUAGGAGUAAUAAGUUCUAGUGUUCUAUAGUACUGUAGAUGACUAUAGUUAACAAUACUAUAUUAUGUAGUUUAAAAUACCUAGGAGUAGUUUGAAUGUUCCCAACACAAAGAAAUAAUAAAUGUUUGAGAUGAUAGAUAUGCUAAUUACCCUGAUCUGAUCACCAUCUACAUGUACUGAAACAUCCCCAUAUAGCCAUGAAUAUGUAUAAUCUUUGUC
RNAcentral lists this long non-coding RNA (1640 nucleotides) under Homo sapiens (human). Its description in RNAcentral is "non-protein coding lnc-CBWD5-5:1". Lineage: Eukaryota; Metazoa; Chordata; Mammalia; Primates; Hominidae. The record is from RNAcentral.